This is a microRNA precursor of Gorilla gorilla gorilla (western lowland gorilla), 72 nucleotides long. The record is from Ensembl. Lineage: Eukaryota; Metazoa; Chordata; Mammalia; Primates; Hominidae.
AGAUUCAACUUUCCCUUCAGAGCCUGGCUUUGGCAUCUAUGAAAGCCAGGCUCUGAAGGGAAAGUUGAAUCU